RNAcentral lists this long non-coding RNA (356 nucleotides) under Prunus persica (peach). RNAcentral describes it as "long non-coding RNA (PPER_LNC005153)". The record is from RNAcentral. Lineage: Eukaryota; Viridiplantae; Streptophyta; Magnoliopsida; Rosales; Rosaceae.
UUGUUUGUAGUUUUUUUUAUUUUUAUUUUGUUUUAUUUGAAGUAUGGAAUAUGUUGAAUAAAAAGGUAAUUUAUUGAAUACUUUGUUUAUUAAAUAAUGAAAUCUAAUACAAGUCAUUACGAAUUACUACUACUAAAAUAAAAUACAUGAAUUACAACAACUUUAAAAGAAAACAUGAAAAAUACAAAUACAUAAAAGGUAGGCUAAUAAAUUUAAUGGUUUCUAUCAUUUAACCAAUCCGUGUUGCUAGGCCCAUCAUCCCGGAAAAGUCUUCUUCUCAUAACAUCCCUUCGUUCUAGCUUCCAAAAUUGUUUUGUUUCAGGGGACAUAUGACUUGUAUCCAUGGCCAUGGUUUC